GAUGAACGCUGGCGGCGUGCCUAAUACAUGCAAGUCGAGCGAACGGACGAGAAGCUUGCUGUUCUGAUGUUAGCGGCGGACGGGUGAGUAACACGUGGAUAACCUACCUAUAAGACUGGGAUAACUUCGGGAAACCGGAGCUAAUACCGGAUAAUAUUUUGAACCGCAUGGUUCAAAAGUGAAAGACGGUCUUGCUGUCACUUAUAGAUGGAUCCGCGCUGCAUUAGCUAGUUGGUAAGGUAACGGCUUACCAAGGCAACGAUGCAUAGCCGACCUGAGAGGGUGAUCGGCCACCCUGGAACUGGAACACGGUCAAGACGCCUACGGGAGGCCGCAGUCGCGAAUCUUCCGCAAUGGGCGAAAGCCUGACGGAGCAACGCCGCGCGAGUGAUGAAGGUCUUCGGAUCGUAAAACUCUCUUAUUAGGGAAGAACAUAUGUGUAAGUAACUGUGCACAUCUUGACGGUACCUAAUCAGAAAGCCACGGCUAACUACGUG
Molecule: ribosomal RNA, 497 nt
Filed under: uncultured bacterium
Lineage: Bacteria
Description: partial 16S ribosomal RNA
Rfam family: Bacterial small subunit ribosomal RNA
Source: RNAcentral